This 251-nucleotide ribosomal RNA is filed under the name uncultured Pseudomonas sp. RNAcentral describes it as "partial 16S ribosomal RNA". It matches the Rfam family "Bacterial small subunit ribosomal RNA", at positions 100 to 354 of the family's 1533-position model. The record is from RNAcentral. Lineage: Bacteria; Pseudomonadati; Pseudomonadota; Gammaproteobacteria; Pseudomonadales; Pseudomonadaceae.
CGGGGUGAGUAAUGCCUAGGAAUCUGCCUGGUAGUGGGGGACAACGUUUCGAAAGGAACGCUAAUACCGCAUACGUCCUACGGGAGAAAGCAGGGGACCUUCGGGCCUUGCGCUAUCAGAUGAGCCUAGGUCGGAUUAGCUAGUUGGUGAGGUAAUGGCUCACCAAGGCGACGAUCCGUAACUGGUCUGAGAGGAUGAUCAGUCACACUGGAACUGAGACACGGUCCAGACUCCUACGGGAGGCAGCAGAU